RNAcentral lists this transfer RNA (69 nucleotides) under Podarcis lilfordi (Lilford's wall lizard). RNAcentral's name for it is "tRNA.Ala". It matches the Rfam family "tRNA". Rfam says of the family: Transfer RNA (tRNA) molecules are approximately 80 nucleotides in length. Their secondary structure includes four short double-helical elements and three loops (D, anti-codon, and T loops). Lineage: Eukaryota; Metazoa; Chordata; Lepidosauria; Squamata; Lacertidae. The record is from RNAcentral.
GCUGUAGCUUAAUGGUAGAGCAUCUGCUUUGCAUGCAGAAGGUCCCCGGUUCAAUUCCCGCCAUCUCCA